AGUGAACGCUGGCGGUAGGCCUAACACAUGCAAGUCGAACGGCAGCACAGUAAGAGCUUGCUCUUACGGGUGGCGAGUGGCGGACGGGUGAGGAAUACAUCGGAAUCUACUUUUUCGUGGGGGAUAACGUAGGGAAACUUACGCUAAUACCGCAUACGACCUACGGGUGAAAGCAGGGGAUCUUCGGACCUUGCGCGAUUGAAUGAGCCGAUGUCGGAUUAGCUAGUUGGCGGGGUAAAGGCCCACCAAGGCGACGAUCCGUAGCUGGUCUGAGAGGAUGAUCAGCCACACUGGAACUGAGACACGGUCCAGACUCCUACGGGAGGCAGCAGUGGGGAAUAUUGGACAAUGGGCGCAAGCCUAAUCCAGCCAUACCGCGUGAGUGAAGAAGGCCUUCGGGUUGUAAAGCCCUUUUGUUGGGAAAGAAAAGCAGCAGGUUAAUACCCCGCUGUUCUGACGGUACCCAAAGAAUAAGCACCGGCUAACUUCGUG
RNAcentral lists this ribosomal RNA (492 nucleotides) under uncultured bacterium. RNAcentral describes it as "partial 16S ribosomal RNA". It matches the Rfam family "Bacterial small subunit ribosomal RNA", at positions 29 to 507 of the family's 1533-position model. The record is from RNAcentral.